This is a long non-coding RNA of Dendroctonus ponderosae (mountain pine beetle), 861 nucleotides long. RefSeq lists it as uncharacterized. The transcript is spliced from 2 exons. NCBI's taxonomy places the organism in Eukaryota, Metazoa, Arthropoda, Insecta, Coleoptera, Curculionidae. The record is from RefSeq and is a predicted model, not a curated record.
AAUUCACGUCAAAUUUUAAAUAAUUUUCGUUUGGUCUAGGCACAGAUCACUCUGCCAGAGUGACCUCUGUGAUCUGUGGGUUGACGUCAACUGAGUGUCUGUCAUAGAGUAAAUAAAAUAAUAAAUAAUAAAAUGUAUAAAAUAAUUAUUUUAUUUACGUUAUGGUGUCAGCCAGACAAGACCGGAAAGUACUUGUCUGACUAAUUUUCCCAGUGCGUUUGCUGCAAUAAAAUGCUUAAUAAGUGCACAUAAACUAAUGAAAUAUUUGGCAUAAAUUCGUUUAUUCGCAAAGUAAUUUCGAUACUAUCGAGAGUGAGGAAAUAUCGAUUUUAUAAUCGAUAAUGUGUAAUGUGUCAGUGUAUAUCGACCUUGUACUUCAGGAUGUAAAGGCCAUUGACACUGAACUCCACCUGUUGCUUUUGUUUUGUUUGCGUGGAUCCCGAAUGUCAUUAGUAAAUAACCUCACUUGCAUUUUACACGUAGAACCUGUUAAGUUUGUGCUACUGCAAGACAGCUGCCUAGUGGGCCCCAUUUAAGCAUCACCAGUCACUGAUACAUACUAAUAAAAUGCCGAAGGUACUGAAAGGUGGCAAACAAAAAAUCACAUCGAAAGAAAAGCAAAAAUUGAAAAAAGAGUAUCAAGAAACGCAGAAGCAACUAAAAACCAUCGUACUACCGGCUCUAGGGGUAGUUUUCCUAUUCAUCGUAGUCUAUGUGUACCUGAAGACCAGGCCUAUCAGGAGCAACUUCGACUGACGUAAAUCAUCCCCCUUCCCACAUAAACAUUAAGGGAAAUGUUUAAGGCGCAAUAGUUUCUAAUUGUUUUAUUUUGUACAAAAUAAAUAAAUAUUUUCUUAAAAA